Molecule: transfer RNA, 74 nt
Filed under: Eggerthia catenaformis
Lineage: Bacteria; Bacillati; Bacillota; Erysipelotrichia; Erysipelotrichales; Coprobacillaceae
Also listed under: 3 other names
Description: tRNA-Trp
Rfam family: tRNA
About the family: Transfer RNA (tRNA) molecules are approximately 80 nucleotides in length. Their secondary structure includes four short double-helical elements and three loops (D, anti-codon, and T loops). Further hydrogen bonds mediate the characteristic L-shaped molecular structure. tRNAs have two regions of fundamental functional importance: the anti-codon, which is responsible for specific mRNA codon recognition, and the 3' end, to which the tRNAs corresponding amino acid is attached (by aminoacyl-tRNA synthetases). tRNAs cope with the degeneracy of the genetic code in two manners: having more than one tRNA (with a specific anti-codon) for a particular amino acid; and 'wobble' base-pairing, i.e. permitting non-standard base-pairing at the 3rd anti-codon position.
Source: RNAcentral
AGGGGCUUGGUCCAAUGGUAGAACAUCGGUCUCCAAAACCGUUGAUGCGGGUUCGAUUCCUGCAGCCCCUGCCA